This is a long non-coding RNA of Ornithodoros turicata, 977 nucleotides long. RefSeq lists it as uncharacterized. The transcript has 2 exons. The record is from RefSeq and is a predicted model, not a curated record. NCBI's taxonomy places the organism in Eukaryota, Metazoa, Arthropoda, Arachnida, Ixodida, Argasidae.
UACACCUUUGUUUAGCACUUGCUGCACUGUGUAUUCCCUUGCUACUGGACGGAUGGGCUGACGGCCCGAGAGUGGGAACUCUGGUUCUCACACUUGGCGCCCAACGUGUUUAGGCUCAGGUUCAUCAGUUCCGCGGCAAGGAAUACGCAGCACUGUUUCUGGCAGGUAUUUCUGGCGGUUUUUCUCUUUCAGCCCGACGACCGUCGUCCAGGGAUUCAGCAGUCCACCACGCAGGUACGGCCUGAAGAUCUGCGCCUACUGCCUCAGUUACAGGCUUCGCCGCUGUGACACGGACGGAAAAACCGGGCCAGUAUACACAACUCCAAUCUGAAGACUGGUCACGUACUGAGACCCCCCGAGGACUAAGUGUCAGGUCUUCAGUCUCCUCCUCAAGACCAGGAUACCGCCUCCGGACCGGCCUCCAGACGCUACAACUUGCGGCGCAGGCAGCAGCCACUAUUUCGGUCACUAGGACUUAAUGCUCACGGUUUUGAUACCCUGAGACUACCUUCCCGACGGAGACCCAACCCCUCGCCACGUCAGAGUUCGUCAGGACCACCACCGACAAGGUCGUCACCCAGGGCUCCGCGGCACCGGUGACCUGGGCCAUCGACCGGUAGCGACCAGCAGGGCGCCCUCCGCCGCUUUAGGGUGGGUGCAGCACUUUCUACGGGCCCGAAUGUGGUUUCUGCGCUGUCGCCAAGAUCUCCUGCGGUAGGACCCCUCGCUCAGGCCCCUGAAGGCCUGAGCAGAAUGAUUGGAGGACACCACCCGAAGACAUCAUAAUCGACACGCCCGACGUCGACGACUUGUAAAACGCUUUGGUGUGAACUGUAGGGGAGUGGGGAAAUGAACGCUGGUUAUCAAUAAACUUUAUCAAGCGCUAUCAGUGUAAGGGGGAAAUGGCGUGCUCAACCUUGAGGGGCACUGAACGGCUCUGGUAGCUUCGUAAGGUAUGCAAUAAACCUUUGUUUGCA